RNAcentral lists this transfer RNA (74 nucleotides) under Gammaproteobacteria bacterium. RNAcentral's name for it is "tRNA-Lys". It matches the Rfam family "tRNA". Rfam says of the family: Transfer RNA (tRNA) molecules are approximately 80 nucleotides in length. The record is from RNAcentral. Lineage: Bacteria; Pseudomonadati; Pseudomonadota; Gammaproteobacteria. RNAcentral also lists the same sequence under 1 other name.
CCGCUCUUGGCAUAGUGGCUGUGCACCUGGCUUUUAACCAGGUGACGGGAGUUCGAUUCUCUCAGGGCGGACCA